UUUCCGUAGGUGAACCUGCGGAAGGAUCAUUGUUGUAUAACCGAGGUGCGAGGGCUGUCGCUGACCCGACAGGUCGUGCACGCCCGAGUGCCCUCUCACACAUACAUCUCACCCCUAUGUGCACCACCGCGUGGGUCCCCCUUUGGCUUGUUCGGAGGGGGGCUUACGUUUUCACACAAACUUUGUAUGCAGUGUAGAAUGUAUUUUUUGUUUUUGCGAUCACGCAAUAAAUACAACUUUCAACAACGGAUCUCUUGGCUCUC
This 263-nucleotide unclassified non-coding RNA is filed under the name plant metagenome. RNAcentral describes it as "partial contains small subunit ribosomal RNA, internal transcribed spacer 1, and 5.8S ribosomal RNA". The record is from RNAcentral.